Molecule: small nucleolar RNA, 67 nt
Organism: Plectropomus leopardus (leopard coralgrouper)
Lineage: Eukaryota; Metazoa; Chordata; Actinopteri; Perciformes; Serranidae
Product: small nucleolar RNA SNORD98
Source: RefSeq, a predicted model, not a curated record
GACAAUGAUGUAAUAAUCCUAUUCCAUUGCUGAGUACUCACAAUGUGGAAAAGUGCAAACUGAUGUU